ACAGGUAGCAAUACCGGGUGGCGACCGGCGCACGGGUGAGUAACGCGUAUGCAACUUGCCUAUCAGAGGGGAUAACAGUUGGAAACGGCUGCUAAUACCGCAUAAGCGCACAGCAUCGCAUGAUGCAGUGUGAAAAACUCCGGUGGUAUAAGAUGGACCCGCGUUGGAUUAGCUAGUUGGUGAGGUAACGGCCCACCAAGGCAACGAUCCAUAGCCGACCUGAGAGGGUGACCGGCCACAUUGGGACUGAGACACGGCCCAAACUCC
This 267-nucleotide ribosomal RNA is filed under the name uncultured Lachnospiraceae bacterium. RNAcentral's name for it is "partial 16S ribosomal RNA". It matches the Rfam family "Bacterial small subunit ribosomal RNA", at positions 72 to 339 of the family's 1533-position model. The record is from RNAcentral. Lineage: Bacteria; Bacillati; Bacillota; Clostridia; Lachnospirales; Lachnospiraceae.